GGCUGGUUAGCUCAGUUGGUUAGAGCAUGGUGCUAAUAACACCAAAGUCCAGGGUUCAAUCCCUGUGGCCAGCCA
Molecule: non-coding RNA, 75 nt
Organism: Cynocephalus volans (Philippine flying lemur)
Lineage: Eukaryota; Metazoa; Chordata; Mammalia; Dermoptera; Cynocephalidae
Source: the annotation of a RefSeq genome assembly